Molecule: ribosomal RNA, 343 nt
Filed under: uncultured Streptomyces sp.
Lineage: Bacteria; Bacillati; Actinomycetota; Actinomycetes; Kitasatosporales; Streptomycetaceae
Description: bacterial SSU rRNA
Rfam family: Bacterial small subunit ribosomal RNA
Source: RNAcentral
AUUGGGCGUAAAGAGCUCGUAGGCGGCUUGUCGCGUCGGAUGUGAAAGCCCGGGGCUUAACCCCGGGUCUGCAUUCGAUACGGGCAGGCUAGAGUUCGGCAGGGGAGAUUGGAAUUCCUGGUGUAGCGGUGAAAUGCGCAGAUAUCAGGAGGAACACCGGUGGCGAAGGCGGAUCUCUGGGCCGAUACUGACGCUGAGGAGCGAAAGCGUGGGGAGCGAACAGGAUUAGAUACCCUGGUAGUCCACGCCGUAAACGUUGGGCACUAGGUGUGGGCGGCAUUCCACGUCGUCCGUGCCGCAGCUAACGCAUUAAGUGCCCCGCCUGGGGAGUACGGCCGCAAGG